Chlorocebus sabaeus (green monkey) is the source of this 1660-nucleotide non-coding RNA. NCBI's taxonomy places the organism in Eukaryota, Metazoa, Chordata, Mammalia, Primates, Cercopithecidae. The record is from RefSeq and is a predicted model, not a curated record.
AUGGGAUUUAGGUGGGUCUGUCAGACACAUGGGUUUAAAUCCAGAACCUGCUUGAUUCCCAACUUCUGUAUCCUUUCUCUCCCCACAGAUACCAACCAUCUGGCCCUAAAACAAAUCUCAUCAGUUUAUGAACCAAGCAGCCCAAUCAGAGUGCCUAAUUCUCCCUACCACACAAUUGGUCAAGGAGGAAGCAAGUGACAUAAUCUAAAUUCUUUCCAAAGAUGGAUGCAGAUGCUAGGAAAGCAAGAGUUGAAUUGCUAGCCAUGAGGAAAACGUAAGCCUGGGCUGUUUGCUGGUCAUCUUUGCUUCCAUAUGGAGACAGUCUGCGUGGAAAUGAAGCCACACAGAGAAAACAGAAGAGCAGUGAAGAGAAAGGUAAAAGGAGAGAUCCCAUGACAUGAUUUGCACUCUUAGAUCCAGUUAUGCCUGAAGCAGGACCCACCCCUUGGACUUCCCAUUUCCAGGAGCCUAUGCAUUCUCUGUUGCUAAAACUAGAUUGAGUUGAGUUUCUAUCACCUACAAGUUGACAGAAAAUAUCAACAGUCCAGCCACAUGGAGCCUCAAGGCAAUACCACUAACCCUGGUCACCACACAAAUACUGACCAGAGACAUUUCACCUGAAUCAACUGUUUGUGUUCUUCACUUGGUCUCCUCACCUGCUUCCUGGAAGACCCAGCUGACACAGAUGGUUACAAGAAGUGAUUUCCUCCCUAUAAAACUUUAGAUCGCGCUUGCUGCUCUGUGAAGAAGGACUGGGCGAAAAAGAAGUAGAAUCAGGGAGAACAGUCCGAGGGUGAUCAAAAUUAUCCAGACGGAAGACGACUACGUUUUAGUCUGAAGUGGUGGGAGUGGUGAUGGAGAAGAGCAGACAUCUGCGAGUUUUAUUUUGGAGAUAGAGCCACAGGACUUGGUAAGGAUUGGGCAUGCGGGGAGGCAAGGGGAAGGGAAGAGUCAGGGAAGCCUCCCAGGUUGCUGACUUGGGCCUCUGUCUGGAGGGUGAAGCUGUUUAUGGAGAGGAGGAAGACUAGGGGAAGAAUAAGGAUGGAAAGAUUUUUAAGAUGAAGAUGUCCACGAGACAUCCAGGGAAAUAUCAAGCCGGCAGAUGGCUGCCUGAACCUGGAGCCCAGCUGACAAGUUUGAGCUGGAGGAUCUUUUUUUCUAAUCUGUUAGUGGUCAAGUAGCCAUCUCAGGUCAACCCGGCUUAUGCCAAAAGAGACCUCCAUGAGGUCUGUAUGAACCUGUUAAAACUCUAUUCGGGGCUUAGACAUGAAGCCCCACUUAGUAAAAAGCAUCCCUCUACCCUGUUUUGUCAUAAGUGCACAUAUUUUCUUUGAAGAAAAGGAUUGCUAGUCAAAAACAAGAUUUGAGAAUUCCUAGGUCCCUGACUAAAUACUGUCAUAAUCUUGCCCCUAGAGUUCCAAUUUUAACAUGACUUCAUGGUAUAUUUAAAGAGCAAGCCCCAGAGUCCAGUUGGAGUGACAGACAAUAAUGUCCUCAUGGGGAGACAUAGGCCCAUAGUAAGAGAUAAGGUUCCAAAGCUUUUCCUUCUGGCUGUCAUGGCAACAGCAGCAAGAGCUCUGGAGGUGGGAAGGAGGACAAGGAGGAGAGAGGAGCAACCAGAAGCUGUGGUGGCUGUUAGUCUGCAGAGAAUAAUUCAAGA